This 500-nucleotide ribosomal RNA is filed under the name uncultured bacterium. RNAcentral describes it as "partial 16S ribosomal RNA". It matches the Rfam family "Bacterial small subunit ribosomal RNA", at positions 30 to 523 of the family's 1533-position model. The record is from RNAcentral.
AUUGAACGCUGGCGGCAGGCCUAACACAUGCAAGUCGAGCGGAUGAAGAGAGCUUGCUCUCUGAUUCAGCGGCGGACGGGUGAGUAAUGCCUAGGAAUCUGCCUGGUAGUGGGGGACAACGUUUCGAAAGGAACGCUAAUACCGCAUACGUCCUACGGGAGAAAGUGGGGGAUCUUCGGACCUCACGCUAUCAAAUGAGCCUAGGUACGAUUAGCUAGUUGGUGAGGUAACGGCUCACCAAGGCGACGAUCGUUAACUGGUCUGAGAGGAUGAUCAGUCACACUGGAACUGAGACACGGUCCAGACUCCUACGGGAGGCAGCAGUGGGGAAUAUUGGACAAUGGGCGAAAGCCUGAUCCAGCCAUGCCGCGUGUGUGAAGAAGGUCUUCGGAUUGUAAAGCACUUUAAGUUGGGAGGAAGGGCAGUAAGUUAAUACCUUGCUGUUUUGACGUUACCGACAGAAUAAGCACCGGCUAACUUCGUGCCAGCAGCCGCAGUAA